RNAcentral lists this ribosomal RNA (255 nucleotides) under uncultured bacterium. RNAcentral's name for it is "partial 16S ribosomal RNA". It matches the Rfam family "Bacterial small subunit ribosomal RNA", at positions 99 to 354 of the family's 1533-position model. The record is from RNAcentral.
CGGACGGGUGAGUAACGCGUGGAUAACCUGCCGUAUACUGGGGGAUAACACUUAGAAAUAGGUGCUAAUACCGCAUAAGCGCACAGUCUCGCAUGAGACGGUGUGAAAAACUCCGGUGGUAUACGAUGGAUCCGCGUCUGAUUAGCUUGUUGGCGGGGUAACAGCCCACCAAGGCGACGAUCAGUAGCCGGCCUGAGAGGGUGAACGGCCACAUUGGGACUGAGACACGGCUCAAACUCCUACGGGAGGCAGCAG